GCAGACAUUUUGACUUACCACUGCGGUGCCCUUUGAAAAUGUGCCCGUUUGGAACGGUCGAUUACUUGACCUGUGGUAUUGCUGUUUGUACAAUUCAUCAAAACCAAAUUGUAGCCCUAGUAAUG
Sander lucioperca (pikeperch) is the source of this 125-nucleotide long non-coding RNA. RefSeq lists it as uncharacterized. The transcript has 3 exons. The record is from RefSeq and is a predicted model, not a curated record. Lineage: Eukaryota; Metazoa; Chordata; Actinopteri; Perciformes; Percidae.